UACGUAGGGAGCGAGCGUUAUCCGGAUUUAUUGGGUGUAAAGGGUGCGUAGACGGGAAGGCAAGUUGGUUGUGAAAUCCCCAGGCUUAACUUGGGAACUGCAACCAAAACUAUCUUUCUUGAGUGUCGGAGAGGAAAGUGGAAUUCCUAGUGUAGCGGUGAAAUGCGUAGAUAUUAGGAGGAACACCAGUGGCGAAGGCGACUUUCUGGACGAUAACUGACGUUGAGGCACGAAAGUGUGGGGAG
RNAcentral lists this ribosomal RNA (245 nucleotides) under uncultured Lachnospiraceae bacterium. RNAcentral describes it as "partial 16S ribosomal RNA". It matches the Rfam family "Bacterial small subunit ribosomal RNA", at positions 524 to 768 of the family's 1533-position model. The record is from RNAcentral. Lineage: Bacteria; Bacillati; Bacillota; Clostridia; Lachnospirales; Lachnospiraceae.